RNAcentral lists this ribosomal RNA (301 nucleotides) under uncultured bacterium. RNAcentral's name for it is "partial 16S ribosomal RNA". It matches the Rfam family "Bacterial small subunit ribosomal RNA", at positions 509 to 807 of the family's 1533-position model. The record is from RNAcentral.
CAGUAGCCACGGUAAAACGAAGGGUGCAAGCGUUACUCGGAAUUACUGGACGUAAAGCGUGCGUAGGUGGUUGUUUAAGUCUGCUGUGAAAGCCCUGGGCUCAACCUGGGAAUUGCAGUGGAUACUGGGCGACUAGAGUAAGGUAGAGGAUAGUGGAAUUUCCGGUGUAGCAGUGAAAUGCGUAGAGAUCGGAAGGAACAUCUGUGGCGAAGGCGACUAUCUGGGCCAACACUGACACUGAGGCACGAAAGCGUGGGGAGCAAACAGGAUUAGAUACCCCCGUAGUCCCUGUCUCUUAUAC